CACGCCGUAAACGAUGAGUGCUAGGUGUAGAGGGUAUCGACCCCUUCUGUGCCGCAGUUAACACAAUAAGCACUCCGCCUGGGGAGUACGGCCGCAAGGUUGAAACUCAAAGGAAUUGACGGGGGCCCGCACAAGCGGUGGAGCAUGUGGUUUAAUUCGACGCAACGCGAAGAACCUUACCAGGGCUUGACAUCCUUAGAAUCCCGAGGAAACUUGGGAGUGCCCUUCGGGGAACUAAGAGACAGGUGG
Molecule: ribosomal RNA, 249 nt
Filed under: uncultured Peptococcaceae bacterium
Lineage: Bacteria; Bacillati; Bacillota; Clostridia; Eubacteriales; Peptococcaceae
Description: partial 16S ribosomal RNA
Rfam family: Bacterial small subunit ribosomal RNA
Source: RNAcentral